GAUGAACGCUGGCGGCGUGCCUAAUACAUGCAAGUCGAGCGAACGGACGAGAAGCUUGCUUCUCUGAUGUUAGCGGCGGACGGGUGAGUAACACGUGGAUAACCUACCUAUAAGACUGGGAUAACUUCGGGAAACCGGAGCUAAUACCGGAUGAUAUUUUGAACCGCAUGGUUCAAAAGUGAAAGACGGUCUUGCUGUCACUUAUAGAUGGAUCCGCGCUGCAUUAGCUAGUUGGUAAGGUAACGGCUUACCAAGGCAACGAUGCAUAGCCGACCUGAGAGGGUGAUCGGCCACCCUGGAACUGAGACACGGUCCAGACUCCUACGGGAGGAAGCAGUAGGGAAUCUUCCGCAAUAGGCGAAAGCCUGACGGAGCAACGCCGCGUGAGUGAUGAAGGUCUUCGGAUCGUAAAACUCUGUUAUUAGGGAAGAACAUAUGUGUAAGUAACUGUGCACAUCUUGACGGUACCUAAUCAGAAAGCCACGGCUAACUACGUG
RNAcentral lists this ribosomal RNA (497 nucleotides) under uncultured bacterium. RNAcentral describes it as "partial 16S ribosomal RNA". It matches the Rfam family "Bacterial small subunit ribosomal RNA", at positions 28 to 507 of the family's 1533-position model. The record is from RNAcentral.